UCGAGAAUCUUCGGCAAUGGGCGCAAGCCUGACCGAGCGACGCCGCGUGGAGGAUGAAGGCCUUCGGGUUGUAAACUCCUGUCGAGGGGGAAGAAGGCCCCGCAAGGGGCUUGACUGAUCCCUGGAGGAAGCACGGGCUAAGUUCGUGCCAGCAGCCGCGGUAAGACGAACCGUGCGAACGUUAUUCGGAAUCACUGGGCUUAAAGCGCGUGUAGGCGGGACGGCACGUCGGUCGCUGAAAGCCCCCGGCUCAACCGGGGAACGGGCGCCGAUACGACCGCCCUGGAGGGACGUAGGGGGACCUGGAACUUCCGGUGGAGCGGUGAAAUGCGUUGAGAUCGGAAGGAACGCCCGUGGCGAAAGCGAGGUCCUGGACGUUUACUGACGCUGAGACGCGAAAGCCAGGGGAGCGAACG
This 416-nucleotide ribosomal RNA is filed under the name uncultured bacterium. RNAcentral describes it as "bacterial SSU rRNA". It matches the Rfam family "Bacterial small subunit ribosomal RNA", at positions 355 to 774 of the family's 1533-position model. The record is from RNAcentral.